RNAcentral lists this ribosomal RNA (542 nucleotides) under uncultured archaeon. RNAcentral's name for it is "bacterial SSU rRNA". It matches the Rfam family "Archaeal small subunit ribosomal RNA", at positions 690 to 1230 of the family's 1478-position model. The record is from RNAcentral.
UCCGACGGUGAGGGACGAAGGCUGGGGGCGCAAACCGGAUUAGAUACCCGGGUAGUCCCAGCAGUAAACGAUGCCAGCUAUGUGUUGCUGGAACCAUGGGUUCCAGCAGUGCCGAAGGGAAGCCGUGAAGCUGGCCACCUGGGAAGUACGGUCGCAAGGCUGAAACUUAAAGGAAUUGGCGGGGGAGUACCACAACCGGUGGAGCCUGCGGUUUAAUUGGAUACAACGCCGGGAAUCUUACCGGAGGGGACAGCAGUAUGAAGGCCAGGCUGAAGACCUUGCCAGAUCAGCUGAGAGGAGGUGCAUGGCCGUCGCCAGUUCGUACCGUGAGGCAUCCUGUUUAGUCAGGCAACGAUCGAGACCCGCAGUCUUAUUUGCCAGCAUGCCCUUUGGGGUGUAUGGGUACAAUAAGACGACCGCCAGCGCUAAGCUGGAGGAAGGAGCGGGCUACGGUAGGUCAGCAUGCCCCGAAUCCUCCGGGAUACACGCGGGCUACAAUGGUCAGGACAAAAGGUACCGACCUCGAAAGAGUGAGGUAAUCC